UAUAGGAUUUCUGAAUCUGAGUCUUUCCUGAGACAAACUCUUUCUAAUCCUUACCUGCUUGUCAGAGCCGCGCAGACACCACCACAUCCGUACCCACCCCAAGGAUCUCCUAUUGCUGGAAGAAGAGCUGUAAUUUCGGCUGCCUGAUCCUGGCUGCAGAAAGAAGCACUGAAGACGUGAGGAAAUACAUUAGUUGCAUGCAGUCUGCUCACGCUAAACCAUUCUCAUAGCGUGGGAAAGAAGCAAGCUGCCGGCAUUCGACCCGGGGAUUUAU
Molecule: long non-coding RNA, 274 nt
Filed under: Phasianus colchicus (ring-necked pheasant)
Lineage: Eukaryota; Metazoa; Chordata; Aves; Galliformes; Phasianidae
Description: lncRNA (ENSPCLG00000019412.1)
Source: RNAcentral